UGGCUCGCGCCCAUAGUCUGGAGAAUCAGCCGCCAGGGUUGCGUUGCGGUAUGCCCCGGUUCGAGCCAAAGCGCGGCUCGUAUUGGCCGGUUUCCGCAACAAGCAAGGUUUGGCAGCCCCGUCAUUUCCAAGACCCCGCCAGCCGACUUCACCAGUUUACGGGAGCGAGCCCUUUUUU
This 178-nucleotide non-coding RNA is filed under the name Human mastadenovirus B. The record is from RNAcentral. Lineage: Varidnaviria; Bamfordvirae; Preplasmiviricota; Pharingeaviricetes; Rowavirales; Adenoviridae.